Molecule: ribosomal RNA, 443 nt
Filed under: uncultured bacterium
Lineage: Bacteria
Description: bacterial SSU rRNA
Rfam family: Bacterial small subunit ribosomal RNA
Source: RNAcentral
AUGAACGCUGGCGGCGUGGAUAAGGCAUGCAAGUCGAGUGCUUUCCGUAGCAAUACGGAAGGAGCGGCGAACGAGGUAGUAACACGUAGGUACGCACCCCAAAGUCAGGAAUAACCAGUCGAAAGAUUGGCUAAUACUUGAUAGUCUCUUCGGAGUAAAGAUUUAUCGCUUUGGGAGCGGCCUGCGGGAUAUCAGCUAGUUGGUAGGGUAAAGGCCUACCAAGGCUAUGACGUCUAGGGGACGUGAGAGCGUGACCCCCACCGAUGGUACUGAGACACGGACCAUACACCUACGGGUGGCUGCAGUCGAGAAUCUUCCGCAAUGGACGAAAGUCUGACGGAGCGACGCCGCGUGAAGGAUGAAGUGCUUCGGCACGUAAACUUCUUUUAUGAGGGAGAAAGUCUAUUGAUAGUACCUCAUGAAUAAGAGGCUCCAAACUCUGU